RNAcentral lists this ribosomal RNA (497 nucleotides) under uncultured bacterium. RNAcentral describes it as "partial 16S ribosomal RNA". It matches the Rfam family "Bacterial small subunit ribosomal RNA", at positions 28 to 507 of the family's 1533-position model. The record is from RNAcentral.
GAUGAACGCUGGCGGCGUGCCUAAUACAUGCAAGUCGAGCGAACAGACGAGGAGCUUGCUCCUCUGACGUUAGCGGCGGACGGGUUAGUAACACGUGGAUAACCUACCUAUACGACUGGGAUAACUUCGGGAAACCUGAGCUAAUACCGGAUAAUAUAUUUAACCGCAUGGUUCAAUAGUGAAAGACGGUUUUGCUGUCACUUAUAGAUGGAUCCGCUCCGCGUUCGCUAGUUGGUAAGGUAACGGCUUACCAAGGCAACGAUGCGUAGCCGACCGGAGAGGAGGAUCGGCCACACUGGAACGGAGACACGGUCCGGACUCCUACGGGAGGCAGCAGUAGAGAAUCGUCCGCAAUGGGAGAAAGCCUGACGGAGCAACGCCGCGUGAGUGAUGAAGGGCUUCGGAUCUGAAAACUCUGUUAUUAGGGAAAAACAAAUGUGUAAGUAACGAUGCACGUCUUGACGGUACCUAAUCAGAAAGCCACGGCUAACUACGUG